UUCAAUUACAUCUCUACUCAUCUGAACUCAAAUUUCUCAAAACACUGUUUGAAAUUACAUAAAGCAACUGACAACCACAUGCUUCUCCCUUUUAUUUUCCAAGCAUUUCCCUCGAUAACCCGUACCCAUUGGAGGAAGCUUUGUGAGGGCCUCGAUAGAGUAUUCUCUAGCCCAUUGCUUCUCCUUCCUUCUCCAAGCUCGAGACCUGCAAGCACAUCGUCCCCAAGCUUGAGACCUGCAAGCACAUUGAAUCUUUGCAGAACCUCAGUCUUCUGAACCCCCUUUGCAAAGCAGGAAGCUAUGCAAUUCUCAACUAGAUCAAUCUCCAUUCUUUGCAUCCAUCAGGUUCCAUCAAACCAUCAAAUGGUCCUCCCUCCUCCUAAAAAACACAGUAAUUUUGCGUUGCCUUUGAAUAGGAAGGGCUCUCGUGACCUCUACAACAAAAGUGGGUUCAACUUUUUUGAAAACCCACGAAAGGCCCCUUCCAUUCUCAUUUUGAAAGCUUCUAGAGUGGCUUUGCUCGUAUCUUGUUCAAUCCUUGAGAACGGUCUAUAAAGUAAAGAUGGCGAAACGAACAAAUCCACCAUAACAUUGAAGACCUCACGACGCACCACUGUCUCUGGCCAUAAAAGUCAUCGAGCCAAGAGGCCAUCCACGACUGCUCUGAAGAUGAGGUCUUACCAGAUGGGAUGGAGGAUGUUUUCGUUGAGAUGAUGUAUGGGGACUCCAUUAGUGGUGCACUACACGCAGGCAAGAUCACAAGUAGGGACCACGCUUUGUACGUUGAACAUCUUUCUGCCCUGGGUACAAAGAUGUUUGAUGCAAACCAAGUCAAGGGCAAAAUACAAAGGCUAAAGAAGAGGCAGUGGUAGUUCAUCGAUCUCAUUGGCCAAACAGGUAUGGGAUGGGACUCUGACACCAAAACGGUGAUAGCCAGUGACGAGCACUGGGCAAAAGCCAUUAGGGUGAAAUCAGACUGGAAGUAUUUUCGGAACGCGGGGUGCCCAAAGUAUUUAUGUCGCUACUGGGACUCUUCACCACUUUUCAGCCUAACCAGUGCCAACUAGUGAUGAUGAGCAUUAGAUUGAUGCAGAGAUGCGACGUUGGGGCCCCGCAUUGGGCACGCAGUUGAGAGUGGAGGUUGAUAUUGAUGACAUAGAUGUUUCCAUGGGAUACCUUAUACUGGACCAUCCACACACUCAUCACGUCGGCAUCAAAAUAAGGGGGAGCGAAUAAGGAAGGUUGAGGAUGAGUUAUUGGACUUCAUUAGUGUGAUGAAGGAAACAAAUUUAGCACAACGGAAGUGCUAUAAGGAGAGAGGUGAGGUUUCCUCAGCAAAGCGUAGCAAGGGCUCGACACUGACCAUGGACAGCAAUGAUGGAUGGGAUCCGUUCGACCAUGGAAGUUGCCGUAUAAGAAUUUUUUUUCGUGCAUUCAACGAACUACGUGAUCUCAUGAUCCAGCGGGGCUUUUUAGCUAUGGAUGAUGAACAUAGACAAUCAGUGACCAUGGAGGAAUCUGUUGUGAUGUUUUGUCUAAUUGUCGGCCACGCAUAGGCCCAACGAAUUGUUGGCAACCGAUUUCAACAUUCGAGCCAACCAAUUAAUAAAUGUGUGAGAAAGGUGAUGAAGGCCUUAAAUGAGCUUGGGAGACAUAUUAUCAAGCCACAUUUCACAGACGAGGUGCAUCCAUAUAUUGUACGGAACAACCGAAAUCUACCGUGGUUUGGGCAAUGCGUUGGAGCGAUGAACAACACUAUGAUGGAUGCGGUAGUACUAGCCUCAGUACCCGAGGCAUAUAGAAAUCGGUAUGGGCGAGUUGCCCAAAAUGUAAUGUGUAUAUGUAACUUCGAUAUGAAAUUAAUAUUUGUAUACAGCGGAUGGGAAGGAACAGUGCAUGAUGCUCGUAUAUAUCUCCAUGCGGCGAGUCAAGGAUCCGCCCAGUUUCCAUGGUUGCCUGAAGGUAAAUAUUAUUUGGCCGAUUCUGCUUUCCUGUGCACUAGAGGGAUUUAAAAUUUUAAGAAUAAUGCCUCGUUAUUCUGUUAGGCGGCAACGAUUGAUCGUGACAACAUGUUGUGUGCUACGUAAUUUCAUUAGAAUGGUGACUCCCGACCACUGGAUAUUUCGAUAUUGGAGUAGGGGUUCAGCUCCUUGUUCUUGAUAACACGUUUCAUGACAAAGCGGGGCCAUUUGGUCUUCUUGAAAUGACGACUGGAGCAGCAGAAACUAUGAUGGCAAUAAGAGAUGGGAUUUACAUACCUAUGUGGCAAAAUAGGGUUGUUCAUUGAACGUGUAAUUAAAAGUAGUUGUGUAUGUAUCAUUUUGUGCACAC
RNA transcript from Juglans regia (Persian walnut), 2331 nucleotides. RefSeq lists it as uncharacterized. Lineage: Eukaryota; Viridiplantae; Streptophyta; Magnoliopsida; Fagales; Juglandaceae. The transcript is spliced from 6 exons. The record is from RefSeq and is a predicted model, not a curated record.